AGCCCUCUCCUUCCCCCUCCCCCUCGCCAUCGCCCUCCCCGUCUCCCAAGCCCUCCCCCUCGCCAUCGCCUUCCCCGUCUCCCAAGCCCUCCCCCUCGCCGUCGCCGUCACCGUCGCCAUCGCCCAGCCCCACCACCUCCACCUGCAGCUCGAGUGACUGGGCGUGUGCGGCAUGUGCCAACACCUGGGUCCUGGACCAGAACGCCUGCCGCACCUGCGUCUCCACCUUGCGCGCCAAGGGCUUAGACGCCGGCAAGUGCAUCAACUCGUGUUCCGGCAUCGCCACCGCCGCCCUGCAGACCGUUUGCAUGGGCACCUGCGUCCCCAACUCCGCCGCGAAAGGUGCGUUUCCGUUUCCUUAUGGUCGCAUGCCACCCCAUAAAUCCUUUGCUGCCUUAUUAGCGGCUAUGUGCGCCAAGUGUCCAACGCCUCACACAAGUCGCAGCACCACCCGUGCAUGUGCUCCGCCUCGCACACGUGCCUUUCACGCCACGCCGCAUGUACACAUGCCGCAGGCGUUGACUGGGCCUGCAACCAGUACUGUGGCACGACGCUGCUGGUGGGCACGGACCCGGCUCGUUCGCAGCAGUGUGGCACCUGCAUCUUGGGCGUGUCCAACCCCUGGGACUGCUCCAACUGCAUCACGGUAGGUUGCUCCUAUCCCUUAGGCGCUGCGCGCACCGAGCGACAGCAGAGCGGGGCUGCGAGGUCACAAUAACUGAGGGCGCGGACCUUACAUUUCGGAGAAGUGGCUUUGCUGCGAGUGACCGAGUGGUAAGGUCCUGAACGUCUCCGUGCCUAAAUUGAUCUGCAACGUAACAGGUGACCAGCGGCCUGUCUGAUGCGGCUGCAGCCCGCACUUCCUGCAUGACCUGCCUCACCGCCACCACCAUUGGCGGCUACGCCUGUGGCGAAUGCAACAAGCUCGCCACUGCCAGCGCACGCAGCGCGUGCCAGGCGUGUGUGGCGGGCGGCAAGGGCGUAUGGGAGUGCACCCAGCCGAACGCCGGCCGCCGCCUGCUGCGCGCGUAGUCACCGAAAGCAAGCAACCGACCGUGUUGCCAUACGUCUUGUGCCGGCUUAUCGUUGCGCGUGGAACAAAUUGAUGGUGCCCCUUACAGUGUAUGCGGCAUGUACAGCAACGCAGUGACCUGUGCGCGUAUGCCUAGGCCACAUAAGCAAAAGAGAAAAUCCACCUAGCACUCAGCAGCAUGCCGCUGCUUUACUUCAAGCGCAGGGACUUCACCCUUGCUCUGGCUGAUAAGCUCUGUUGUGUGAGCGGCUGAUACAUACAUACAUCCCCGUCGUUUGCGUGGAUACACGCAUGAAGAGCCCAAGCAUGCCUCUCUGGUAUGCACGUUCCUGUGAUGCCGCUGGAAAUGCGGCGGAGCUUUGCACAUAUGGACUGACUGGAUCGUGUACAGAAACAGGACUGAGUAAGAGCGAAGACUGCAGGAUCAGGCAGGAUUUAAGCAUACCGCAUGCUGAAAGGCAUUGAAAGAUCAGUAGGUUGAGCUAGAUGGUGCCGUACUGGAUGCUGUGUGGUGGGACUGCCGGUCACUGCCGGCAGCAGGCAUGCCGCACAUGUGUGCAACGGGCUGCAAAAGUCCUGCAUCGUUGAUACUGGACAUUCAUUCACUGGUAGUCCGUUUGGCUGCAUAUUCGGGCGAAGGCACUGCGAUGCAGAGCGCUGUGUUUCAGCUGAACCGUGUGAAUAUUGUGACGGUAUCCAUGCCGCUUUGCAUAGGGCGUUGGAACUAUCACCUGCUAGCGUAGACAGCCAAGGCUGUAGGCAGGAUGGACGUUUGGACGUGGCCCCAUGGACUCAUUGAGGCUUUCCCUUCAUGUUGAUUUGGACGGCUAAGUGACCCUGCUGGUUGGCGUGUCCCUUCUUGUAACGUUGUGGUCUCAGGACAUGCACCCGCGACCCAAGGUCCCGUUCAUGUUCAGGCGACUGACAGGGGGAUGACCGCUUGCCAGGUAUUCACCGCACGCGUUCCAACCAAUGCGGCUUUGCGCAGGGUUACCGACGUGACUGCCAACCAAUUACGGUACGCUCUCCGAGCUUGAUGUCCGCACAUCCUUGACGCCUCGCACCGCCAUAAGCAGCCCUGACGAAGUCUGGCCAACUACCGCUAUCUGACUUCAGCAUCCACCGUACGUACGAGAUCCGCACAUGCUACCUGGUACCUGCCGACAUGAGUACGGCACCAGUCAGAACACAAAAUGGGGCAGCCCACAUGCAAACCAGUCAACCGCCAACUAACCACAAACACACCAGCUCAGCUCCAUUACACGCUCUCUGGUGACCAGUGCUGUAUGCGACAGCGCAAUAGUUUCUCGGCACCGUUAACCUCUCAUCACUGCGGCGCUCUACCAGCACCGGUACCCGCCGCAGCUGCUGUUAGGCCCUUGCCGCACGCGGCCUUGUGCCCCUCCUUCCAGUGCGCCACCUGCGACUCGCGGCAGCGGUAGGCCACCGCGCCGCCGCAGCCGCCACCGCACGCCUUGACCACCACCUCGGCCCCACUGCCUUGACCACCACCUCGGCCUCACUGCCUUGACCACCACCUCGGCCUCACUGCCUUGACCACCACCUCGGCCCCACUGCCUUGACCACCACCUCGGCCCCACUGCCGCCCUUCAGCUGCAUGCAUACAAGCGGGGUUGGAGCACCGCCGUGCCAGCCGCCGGCCGCCGGCCUCCGACAGCGGCAGCGCGACAAGCUGCCCCCACGAGCUGCCCCCCAGGCACAACACCCGCCCACGAGUGGCAAUGCCGCAGCAGCAGCACCAGCUGGCGCCACCACCGCGCCGCCGCGUGAGGGCACUCAAGGUCGCCAGCGCCCGACCUAUCGCCGGUGGGCCCCGCGCCGCCGCCGGUGUUGUCUGCAACGCUGCUGCGGGGCCGAGUCAGAUUGUGCUGAGUCAGCCGCAGGGCUCUUAGGCAUGAAUCCAUUGCCAAGCGCCGAUCAAGUAAGCGGACCGACGGGUGCGGACCCUUGCCGCUACUUGCCGCCGGACCUGCUCCUUGCCCGCCUCCGGCUGCUGUGGCUGCUCGUCCUGCUGCAUCCCAUCCAAGGCGCCGCGUACUGCUGUCGCAGUAGCUGCACAGCCGCUCCCACUCAGCCGUCAGCGCGGCCGCCGUGUCAGCUACACGCUGCCGUGCCGCAUCCGAGCCAGGUAGGAGGACGGCAACGGCGAUGCGGGCACUGUGGGCUAUGGAGUACACCGCGAGGACUUCCAUGCGCGUCUGAGUAGCCAGGGCCGCCGAGCGCGGGGGAGCAAUGGAGUGCCAAUGCGGCACAUCCUCCUGUUGCGCCGGGCCCGUAGAGGCCCGCCCCGGCCUACUUUUUUUGUGCUGCGCCCGCCCGUGUGCCGCCUGCCGCGCCACCUGCUGCGCCGCUUCCGCGCCACCUGCUCCACUGGCACCUCAGGCUCCGCACCAGAUCCCGCGACCCCACUCGCGGCACCCAGCCCCGCUGCUGGCGGCUCGGCGGUUCCGCCCGCACGCGGUCUCGACGCCAUCACGUAGCUUAGUUGCUCCGCCGACCAUGAGAGCACCGCCUCGCUCUGGUCUGCACCAGCCGCCAUGGGCAGUGCCGCCAGCGACUCCAUCGGCGCGCCGUAGCCGCUGCCGCCGUCCGCCGCACACAGCGCCGCCAGCAGGCCCAUUGUGGGCGCGGUGCAGCGCAGGGAGGGACCCGCCAGCAGCCGCUGCAAGUCCGCCGCGACAGCUGUCGACCUGGGCGACGGUGACACCGUCGCAUCUCGGGCUGACAGGUCACUUUGUUACAGCCUGACAGGAAGAGGCAGAGUCGGGCAAGGCAUGACUCCUUGAAGCUGGCUGAAGAGUGCACGCACGCAAUGCAUCGCACAGGGCGGUAGAGGGCCAAGUACGCGUGUGUGAGCCGGCUCCGCAACCAUGCUGUCACGUGCCCCGCCUCGUGGUACCCCGCCCUCCUCAAACACACACCACAUGUCUACGGUACGCAGCACCGGCGCUCGCGUAUCGUGUCCCUUCAUACCUCGCCGACAGCAACAGGCUUACGGUACCCUAGUAAGUUGGAUGCUGUAUGUCCGGGAAGCCAGCCUUUACCCACAGCGGCCCCUCCAAUACGGUCCAUACGCCAAAACACAAUCUAUCACAAGCCACCACGCAGUCCCCAACGUCCCAGCAUCACACCUGCAGUACCCGUCUACGCAGUCCUGCGCUUGAUAUGUCAGAUUGAUGAUGGGGCUGCCGAACACGAUGGGCUUGUCAGCAGGCAGCAGCGGCAGCGGCGGCAGCGCCACUCGCCCCAGCCGUUCCGUCAUAACGCUGUGUCAUGUACACCAGCGCGGCCAGUAGCUCGGUCUCGAACUCGCUGCGAGGUUAUGGAUGCAGGGACGUUCUUAUACAGCUGCGGCAACCCUGGUCGUGUAGGACAGCCGAGAACCUUGUCCGGGACAGCGCAAUCCCACCGGCCGCCCACACAUUACGGAUGCAGGGUCUUCGUACACGAAUUACAGGAAAGCUGAGGACCGGAAGGGACACCAAACACCAACGACCAAGGGACAGCGCGAGGCGAACCCGAAAUGACCUGGACCAUACGUCACAUCCACCACCGCACCUGAAGAUGUCCUCGAGAGACUUGCAGCCGGGCGACAGUGGCUUCCCCGCGACGCCCCCAGCCAUCAGCCGCGUGCUGACACUCUCCAAGAGCGUCAUGUGGCCGCUAGGGAGGCCGGCUGCGUUCUUCCAGCAGGUAAAUGCAUCCUGCAUGUCCAAUCAGUCACGCCUGCUGCUGCCGCCGCCUUGCCCGCGCCGGCUACUGCUGCUGCCGCUGCACGCUUGCUGCCUGCGUACCAUCUCGGCCUGCACCACCGCCUCAGCGUCAGCUAGCUGCCUCGCCAGGGCCUGGAACGUGCCCCCGCGAGCGCCACGCGCAGUGCGCAGGCCCUGGCGGCCUGGCCGCCGGCGACACAUCCAACUGACACACGUGGCGCCAGUAUCUGGCCAGGAAAUUGCAGCAUGCAAUACUGCAUGCCGCAAAAUAAUUGUUGUCAGUAUCGCGGGCCCUUAGGCACACUGAUAAGGCCCGCAGCACAGCGAGGAAAACCGGUGGGCAGCACCUCCUCCAUUAGCUCUAUCUUCUUGUGAGCAUCCAUGUUGUUUAAGCUCAUACAACAGAGACAGUAUGUCAUCACUGAGGGUGCCAACAUGGCCCUCGCGCGGAUUUCUCGCGGUCCGCAAUUUCUGGUAUGUUCUGAAGCAAUUUUGUAAGCACGUUCCCAGGUUCCUUUGGCAUGAUUCCGGCGGUGCCUUGUCCUGUUCAACAAACCCCUCCGGCAAGUGGAGACGGUUGCAAAAGCUCCCGCAAAUGCAAUGCCGAUAAGAGUUCGGCUGCACUGGUCGAGUAUGCUGGAUAAAUGGAGUUGCCCAUGGAACGGCUAUCCCCAGAGUCAUGCUAGUCGUGCAGUCCCCACCAUCCCCACCAUGUGAGAACUUGUUAUAGCUACGUGCGGCCGCUGACGUUGUCGCACACGGACCUGUUGAUUGCUCGCAGCCACAAUAGGAAUCAGGGUCACAGGUAUAGAGGCCGGGGCUAGCAGAUGGAAACGGGUGGGUAACACAGGACUGGCAUAGCGGGGAAUCGUAACGAUGGUUAGGGCACUCAAGCGCUUAUGAUGUUUUUCAUGCAGAUUCCAUGACCGUCUACAAGCUUAACCUUCAGAACUCUCUGGCGCGGCAGCGGGUGCGCGAGAUGGAGGUAUGGGUAACGUUGGGUGCGCGGGGCGGGGUGGCUGGCCGGCACACUCAGGGCGGCCAAUGGUGGACAUCGCGACCAGGCUCAAGCAGCAGGUGGCUGCAGAAUGACGAUACCUUAUUGCAUAUAGAUUUUAUGUGCCGGGAAGACCACACAGUGGCGUUGCAUCAAAUAUAUAACUUCAAUACUACGUGCUUCGACCAAGGUCCAAGGCACUGCGAAUGGCGCGCGCUAUGCUUAUAGUGAUUACAUGAUAUUUUCUAGCGCGUUGGUGUUACGUCGUGACGCGGAGACACUAACGCGUCGACUGACUACUAAUACACUAUGGUGGCGGUGCAGCUGCUUGCCUCGCUGGCGCUUCUUGUAAUAACGCUGCCAAGCGAAAUUGACGCCCAAAUGUCGCACAAUUAUGCGAGUGUGUUGGGACUGAGCUAUAGGUAGGGCGCAGGUUCGACACGCUCGCUGGGGUUACUGGAGUCAGGCCCCCCCCCCCGCACCCGCCGCAUUGGACCCCUGGUGCCCGACACCUGUCUGCAGACGCCUGCAGUACGAACCAGGGGCAUAUGAGUAGAAAGUGUUGUUAAGUACAUGACGAUAAGAGGGCUAAGCACUACCCUUAAUAUUGCGCAUUGCAACCGAAAAUGCACGACACACUGCCGUCAUCCUUGACUUCCCUAUCCACAACAUGAACAGGUUCUAUGAGGCUCAGAUGUCUGGCAACGUGCCUUCCUGGUCGCGUGCCUCCCAGGCGGCCGGCGGCUGGCGCAACAAGAGCCACGCCCUCGAUGGCACUGGCCCGGGCGGAGUGAACCUGGACCUGUCAGGCGGCUGGUAUGACGCGGGAGGUACGCGCAAAGCAGCUCAAAUGUCGGCAUUGAAAGCAAGCGCGGUGAUGUUGGGAUGCUGCUGGCAUCGCUGACGACGUAUUUGUCGUCCCCCGGUUUUGCCCCCGCCCAACGCUUUGCGCCUGCUGCCUCACGCCCCGGAGAACCUACCCCUGCCCACGCCUGCCGCUUAGGCGCACACCAAAUGCGCCCCCGGCCCGCUCACACCCACGCCUACAACCCCCACAGAUCACCUGAAGCUGCACCUGCCUCUGGGCGUGUCGGUGAGCCUUCUGUCGUACGGCGCCCUCACCUUCGAGGCCGCCUACCGCGCCGCGGGCCAGUGGGACAUCGCCGUGCGCAACCUGGACUGGGCGGCCUCCUACAUCGCCAAAUGCCACACACAGGCCAGCGACACACCCGCCGACAACAAGUUCGUGGCCCAGGUGCGUGUGAGCGUGCGUGCGUGGUUAGGGCUGUGGGUGGGUGUGCAGGGAAGCUGCCUGCUGGCAGGGCGCGUGGUCGCUCAUCCACAUCAGCACGGAUUGCACGCUCUUGCACGAGGGAACGCACCUUGCCUUCGGUUGAUUGGCUGCCGCGCGUUGCAACCCAGCAGGGUCCGUCGACGGUGGACUGCCAACGAGGUAUCCAGUUUCUCGUCGCAUGGCUUACACUUCCCAUUUCGCCGCCCCCCAGAUUGGCGAUGUGGCCACGGACCACAACACCUGGUGGGGCCGGCCGGAGCAGCAGCCCGAGGGCGGCGCCCAGGGCUCUGCGGGCUAUCGACCCGUGUACGUCAUCACGUCAAGCAGCGGCAAGGGCGCUGACAUUGUGGCAGAGGUGGGUGACACGCAGGCGCGCAUACGGUACUGGACGUCAGCUUGGUACCCUCCGCGCCCAGAUGAGCAAACGAACCGUACGUUGCAGCACCUUGCCACGUCGUGAAUCGACCGGGACCGUUCUGCUGAUCCAUAACACAGGCGGCGGCGUCGCUGGCCAGCGUGUCGCUGCUCCUCAAGCGCCCUGGCACCUACUCCAACACCACCAAGGCCGCGGCAUUCCUCGCGCGCGCCAAGCAGCUCUUCGAGUUCGCCAAGACCCUGACCGGCGGAACGUACGUGAGCCGGUGUAACAGCAUGCUGUGUGCGCGCGUCUCUUGGACUGGGCGUGCAGAGAAUGGGAGGCCGCCUCCACUCCUGCCCUGCUGCUGCCCUCCCAACUUCAGUCACACCGACCGGCGGCUUGUUCACACGAGUGUGGCUGAACCCAACAUGCGCAGGUGGGCGCCGCCUGAUAACAACGGCGCGUACGGCAGCUCCAGCUGGAAUGACGACAUGGCCUGGGCGGCGGCGUGGCUGUGCAGGUGCGGUGCGGUGUGCGCCGUACGUGUACGGCGUGUGGGGCAUAUGCAGCGUGUACCGUGGCUUUGGGGCGUGUGGGUAUGAUGAGCGAAAGUGUGCAUGAUGGCUUGGCAUACGUGGUAUCACAUAAGCGGUUGCAUCAUGCAUGCCACUUGCACAUGGACUCGAGUCUUGAGCUAGCUGGUGGCACUCAGGACCCAACACUCACUCGGUACUACUGCAUGCGUGAGCGCAGGGCAAGCGUGGAUGAAGGCGUGACGCCGACCAACAGCGCCGCCUGCGCCGCCGCCCUUGCGUACUGGAAGCCGUUUGUGGGCAACGCAUGGGAGGUGCAGGUGGGCGGAGGUGCAGGAUGUGCAACCGUACGCGGAUUAAAAAUCUGCUUGCAGCACAGCGCGCGGUCCUAAUUGAUAUACCGAUGUUGCUGCUAACCGACCGCCCAUCACCGCUGCCCGCGUGCCGUCCACAUAGACACACGCACGCCUGCCCACACGCCACGCCGCCCUCGCAGGACGUGAACUGGGACCGCAUGGCCGGUAUGGCGGCGGUGCUCCUCCGCGACGUGGGCGCCGGCACCGCCACCGACGUCGCCACAUACAACACCGCCAUCAACGCUGUGCUGAGCCGGUUAGUACGGAGAUUGUGCCAGGGGCAGACGUACCGACAUUUGGCACUGGGUUGUGAAUUAUGGGUUUGGGGUGCUGCGGAUGUGUUGCCUCAAACCUUCAACCUAUAGGACCUUGAACCGCCGCAACCCCUCAAGUGCCGUGCGCGUGAUUGCUUGCAGGUGGAUGGAGCCCGGCACACGCACGUGCAGCAGCGGCGCCGCGCCGCCCUGCUACACCUCGGGCGGCUUGGUUUGGGGCAGCGAGUGGGGCAGCUGUCGGCACACGGGUGAGUGGGAGGGAAUGGCAGGAAAGUGGGAGGGAAUGGCGGGUGAGUGGGAGGGUAUGGCGGGCGGGUUGCUUGGAGGCCGGAAUCAAGGUUGGGAACGGAGUGCGUGACGCCGCCCUGUAAGGUAAAAGACUGAACACAGAACUUCAUAAUCCCGGUUCGCCCGCGUGCUAACAUGCCGAGCGAACAUGCGUUUGUGACGUGGUGUAUUUGGUCGGCCGCGUCUUCGUCACCUUUGUGGUGCUGUGUACGCACGCGUGUGCAGCCAAUGCGGCACUGGUGGCGCUGGCGGCGGCGCGCGGUGACGCCGGCGCGGGUCUGGAGGUUGCCUACAGCACGCGUGUGAAUCGCAACUGCUGGGCACGAAGCCAGGUCGACUACAUGCUCGGCAGCAACCCGCAGAGCCAGUCGUACGUGGUCGGAUACAAGUGAGUAGGCGUACGGUGUUGUCGGCGUGGCAUGCCGCAUCGCAUAAUGGGUGGCAAUGUGGCAAUGCACGGAACGAUGCGAUGCCGACCCUGCGCCGUACCGAUCCUGUCCAUGCCCUGCCAACACGCCGCAGGCCCACGACCUCCCACAAAGCUCCCGAGAAGCCGCACCACCGCAGCAGCAGCUGCGCCACCAACUACGCCACCCCGUGUGACUGGAACGCGCUGGACGCGCCUGGACCCAACCCGAGUGUGCUCCUGGUGAGGUUGCCGUGUGUGGGGGGAGAGGGGGUUGGAUACGUAUACCGUGGCCUAUGCUUUGACAACGGAGUGGCACUCGACAGGGGCGCUCAACACCUCCGCCCCCCCCCCCCGCAUGCAGUACUGUAUGGUACGCAUGACAAUCUUUGGCAGCUCAGGUGCCAGCAAAACUUUCACAGCAACAAACGUAAUGACUCAGGUGCUUGCUGGGAGCGCCCACCGGCUACCAAGCCGUACUUUGUUGCUCAACAGCUGACAGCCGCCACACUCGUCGUAGUUCGUACCGUACACACACACACACACACACACACACACACACACACACACACACACACACACACACACACACACACACACACACACACACACACACACACACACCAGGGCGCGCUGGUGGGCGGUCCGGACCGCUACGACGCCUACACCGACAACCGGCGCGACUACGUCAAGAACGAGGUGGCACUGGACUUCAACGCAGGCUACACGGGAGCGCUGGCGGUGAGCAGGGCUAGCUGUGGGCCGGGCCAGAGAACUGCUGAGGCUGAGCACAUGCGUGCUGUUGCUGGUGGCGGCGGGCUGCUAGGGUGGCGCAGAUGGAGCGGUUGCUGCUGCACUUGCUAUCGCUGCUGCUGCACCCGCUUGCUGCUCGAGGCCUGAACUGCCCGCUCCACUGCAUGUGGUGCGUGUGGCGCCAACAGGGCCUGGCGGCUGUUGACGCCGCAAUCAAGGCCGCGGGAUGCACAUGGACCUCCUACUGCGCCCUCACCUGCACCGUGAGCGGCAACACAGCUGGCCCCUUGCCGGCCGGGCCCUCUCCCUCGUCGUCGCCCUCUCCCUCGCCUUCGCCCUCUCCCUCGCCUGUGCCUUCUCCCUCGCCUUCGCCUUCUCCCUCACCUUCACCGUCUCCCUCACCUUCACCGUCGCCGUCACCUUCACCCUCUCCCUCGUCUUCACCAUCCCCCAAGCGCUCCCCCAAGCCUUCACCCAAGCGCUCUCCCAAGCCCUCACCUAAGCGCUCUCCCAAGCCGUCUUCCAAGCCCUCUCCUCCUUUCUCCAAGCCCUCUCCCUCCCCUUCCCCGAAGCCCUCUCCUUUCCCCUCCUCCUCGCCAUCGCCCUCCCCGUCUCCCAAGCCCUCCCCCUCGCCGUCGCCGUCGCCGUCGCCCAGCCCCACCACCUCAACCUGCAGCUCGAGUGACUGGGCGUGUGCGGCAUGUGCCAACACCUGGGUUCUGGACCAGAACGCCUGCCGCACUUGCGUCUCCACCUUGCGCGCCAAGGGCUUAGACGCCGGCAAGUGCACCAACUCGUGCUCUGGCAUCGCCACCGCCGCCCUGCAGACCGUUUGCAUGGGCACCUGCGUCCC
RNAcentral lists this long non-coding RNA (10880 nucleotides) under Chlamydomonas reinhardtii. RNAcentral's name for it is "long non-coding RNA (CREI_LNC001355)". Lineage: Eukaryota; Viridiplantae; Chlorophyta; Chlorophyceae; Chlamydomonadales; Chlamydomonadaceae. The record is from RNAcentral.